This 72-nucleotide transfer RNA is filed under the name Gasterosteus aculeatus (three-spined stickleback). It matches the Rfam family "tRNA". From Rfam's summary of the family: Transfer RNA (tRNA) molecules are approximately 80 nucleotides in length. Their secondary structure includes four short double-helical elements and three loops (D, anti-codon, and T loops). Lineage: Eukaryota; Metazoa; Chordata; Actinopteri; Perciformes; Gasterosteidae. The record is from Rfam by way of RNAcentral.
GACUCUGUGGCGCAACGGUAGCGCGUCUGACUCCAGAUCAGAAGGCUGCGUGAUCAAAUCACGCCAGGGUCA